GGGGACCGCAAGGCCUUGCGCUCAUGGAGCGGCCGAUGGCAGAUUAGGUAGUUGGUGGGAUAAAAGCUUACCAAGCCGACGAUCUGUAGCUGGUCUGAGAGGACGACCAGCCACACUGGGACUGAGACACGGCCCAGACUCCUACGGGAGGCAGCAGUGGGGAAUUUUGGACAAUGGGGGAAACCCUGAUCCAGCCAUGCCGCGUGCAGGAUGAAGGCCUUCGGGUUGUAAACUGCUUUUGUACGGAACGAAAAGGUCUUUUCUAAUAAAG
RNAcentral lists this ribosomal RNA (271 nucleotides) under uncultured beta proteobacterium sewCLONE2. Its description in RNAcentral is "partial 16S ribosomal RNA". It matches the Rfam family "Bacterial small subunit ribosomal RNA", at positions 199 to 465 of the family's 1533-position model. The record is from RNAcentral. Lineage: Bacteria; Pseudomonadati; Pseudomonadota; Betaproteobacteria.